GAAUUGAAAGCUAAUAACAAGCAUUGGUCUUGUAAACCAAAGAUAGAGAUUUCUCUCAAUUCU
This 63-nucleotide transfer RNA is filed under the name Eisenia andrei. Its description in RNAcentral is "tRNA-Thr". The record is from RNAcentral. Lineage: Eukaryota; Metazoa; Annelida; Clitellata; Crassiclitellata; Lumbricidae.